GCGUCCGUAGCUCAGUUGGUUAGAGCACCACCUUGACACGGUGGGGGUCGGUGGUUCGAGUCCACUCGGACGCACCA
RNAcentral lists this transfer RNA (77 nucleotides) under Escherichia coli. Its description in RNAcentral is "tRNA-Val". It matches the Rfam family "tRNA". From Rfam's summary of the family: Transfer RNA (tRNA) molecules are approximately 80 nucleotides in length. The record is from RNAcentral. Lineage: Bacteria; Pseudomonadati; Pseudomonadota; Gammaproteobacteria; Enterobacterales; Enterobacteriaceae.